UAACGCGUGGGUAACCUGCCUCACACUGGGGGAUAACAGUUAGAAAUAGCUGCUAAUACCGCAUAAGCGCACGGUUCCGCAUGGAACAGUGUGAAAAACUCCGGUGGUGUGAGAUGGACCCGCGUCUGAUUAGCCAGUUGGCGGGGUAACGGCCCACCAAAGCGACGAUCAGUAGCCGGCCUGAGAGGGUGAACGGCCACAUUGGGACUGAGACACGGCCCAAACUCCUACGGGAGGCAGCAGUGGGGAAUAUUGCACAAUGGGGGAAACCCUGAUGCAGCGACGCCGCGUGAGUGAAGAAGUAUUUCGGUAUGUAAAGCUCUAUCAGCAGGGAAGAAAGUGACGGUACCUGAAUAAGAAGCCCCGGCUAACUACGUGCCAGCAGCCGCGGUAAUACGUAGGGGGCAAGCGUUAUCCGGAUUUACUGGGUGUAAAGGGAGCGUAGACGGCAAGGCAAGUCUGAAGUGAAAGCCCGGUGCUUAACGCCGGGACUGCUUUGGAAACUGUUUGGCUGGAGUGCCGGAGAGGUAAGCGGAAUUCCUAGUGUAGCGGUGAAAUGCGUAGAUAUUAGGAAGAACACCAGUGGCGAAGGCGGCUUACUGGACGGUAACUGACGUUGAGGCUCGAAAGCGUGGGGAGCAAACAGGAUUAGAUACCCUGGUAGUCCACGCCGUAAACGAUGAUUGCUAGAUGU
RNAcentral lists this ribosomal RNA (694 nucleotides) under uncultured bacterium. Its description in RNAcentral is "bacterial SSU rRNA". It matches the Rfam family "Bacterial small subunit ribosomal RNA", at positions 111 to 823 of the family's 1533-position model. The record is from RNAcentral.